Molecule: ribosomal RNA, 394 nt
Filed under: uncultured soil bacterium
Lineage: Bacteria
Description: bacterial SSU rRNA
Rfam family: Bacterial small subunit ribosomal RNA
Source: RNAcentral
AGGACGAACGCUGGCGGCGUGCUUAACACAUGCAAGUCGAGCGGAAAGGCCUUUCGGGGUACUCGAGCGGCGAACGGGUGAGUAACACGUGAGUAAUCUGCCCAUCGCUUCAGGAUAGCCAUCGGAAACGGUGAUUAAUACUGGAUAUGACAUUCCUUCGCAUGUUGGGGUGUGGAAGUUUUUCGGCGGUGGAUGUGCUCGCGGCCUAUCAGCUUGGUUGGUGGGGUAAUGGCCUACCAAGGUCUUUGGACGGGUAGCCGGCCUGGAGGAGGGUCGACCGGCCACGACGUGGGACUGAGACACGGCCCAGACCGUCCGUACGGGAGCAGCGAGGUGGGAAUAGUGGACAAGUGGGACGUAAGCCGUGACUCCGAGCCGAACGGCCGACGUAGGA